UUCCAGACUCCUACGGGAGGCAGCAGUGGGGGAUAUUGCACAAUGGGGGGAACCCUGAUGCAGCGACGCCGCGUGGGUGAAGGAGUGCUUCGGCAUGUAAAGCCCUAUCGGCAGGGAAGAAGCAAGACGGUACCUGACUAAGAAGCCCCGGCUAACUACGUGCCAGCAGCCGCGGUAAUACGUAGGGGGCGAGCGUUAUCCGGAUUCACUGGGUGUAAAGGGAGCGUAGACGGCCAUGCAAGCCAGGGGUGAAAGCCCGGGGCCCAACCCCGGGACUGCCCUUGGAACUGCAUGGCUGGAGUGCGGGAGGGGCAGGCGGAAUUCCUGGUGUAGCGGUGAAAUGCGUAGAUAUCAGGAGGAACACCGGUGGCGAAGGCGGCCAACUGGGCUUUAACUGACGCUGAGGCUCGAAAGUGUGGGGAGCAAACAGGAUUAGAUACCCCAGUAC
RNAcentral lists this ribosomal RNA (448 nucleotides) under uncultured bacterium. RNAcentral's name for it is "bacterial SSU rRNA". It matches the Rfam family "Bacterial small subunit ribosomal RNA", at positions 329 to 793 of the family's 1533-position model. The record is from RNAcentral.